This 440-nucleotide ribosomal RNA is filed under the name uncultured bacterium. Its description in RNAcentral is "partial 16S ribosomal RNA". It matches the Rfam family "Bacterial small subunit ribosomal RNA", at positions 338 to 795 of the family's 1533-position model. The record is from RNAcentral.
CCUACGGGUGGCAGCAGUGGGGAAUAUUGCACAAUGGGGGAAACCCUGAUGCAGCGACGCCGCGUGAGUGAAGAAGUAUUUCGGUAUGUAAAGCUCUAUCAGCAGGGAAGAAAUUGACGGUACCUGAUUAAGAAGCCCCGGAUAACUACGUGCAAGCAGCCGCGGUACUACGUAGGGGGCAAGCGUUAUACGGAUUUACUGGGUGUAAAGGGGGCGUAGACGGCAGCACAAGUUUGGCGUGAAAUUCCGGGGCUUAACCCCGGAACUGCUUUGGAAACUGUGGCGCGAGAGUGCAGGAGAGGUAAGUGGAAUGCGGAGUGUAGCGGUGAAAUGCGUAGAUAUUAGGAGGAACACCAGUGGCGAAGGCGGCAUACUGGACUGUAACUGACGUUGAGGCUCGAAAGCGUGGGGAGCAAACAGGAUUAGAUACCCCGGUAGUC